RNAcentral lists this transfer RNA (59 nucleotides) under candidate division Kazan bacterium RBG_13_50_9. RNAcentral describes it as "tRNA-Gly". It matches the Rfam family "tRNA", at positions 1 to 59 of the family's 71-position model. Rfam says of the family: Transfer RNA (tRNA) molecules are approximately 80 nucleotides in length. Their secondary structure includes four short double-helical elements and three loops (D, anti-codon, and T loops). The record is from RNAcentral.
GCGGGUGUGGUUCAAUGGUAGAACGGCUCUCUUCCAAGGAGCAAACGGCGGUUCGAUUC